UCAUUAUCGAAUAAGCUUGACCAGGCUGUUGCUGGUCCCCCCACGGGGUGUGUCGCUUGUCAUCUUCAUCUUUUCUCCCAACUGUGCACAUAUUGUAGACCCUUGAGGGGGGGGGCUUUGUCCCCAGGGGGGAGUCCUGCGCUUCUACGAAAACAAUAAAAUAAAGUCCUUUGGUAAGCAUUUCUCUUUUAACCUAUGGGUUUUCAGGUCUCCCCUACGGGGUUCUUGAAGGGCGCAUCGUUGAAAAAAUUUUAAGAAAUAGAAUUUUCCUGCGGAUCUCUUUUUUCUCUGAACCAUCGAAACAACGAACGAAUCUCCCACCCGUAAGGGUAAUUUGAAAGGCCGGGGGUUUGAAGUUUUUGAAACCCCCUCUUGGCCUUUUGGUCUUACGAAGAUUGGAUUGUGUAAGGUGGUUUUGAACCUCUAAAACACCUCU
RNAcentral lists this unclassified non-coding RNA (436 nucleotides) under Inocybe sp. SB83. RNAcentral describes it as "sequence contains 18S rRNA gene, ITS1, 5.8S rRNA gene, ITS2 and 28S rRNA gene". The record is from RNAcentral. Lineage: Eukaryota; Fungi; Basidiomycota; Agaricomycetes; Agaricales; Inocybaceae.